Molecule: ribosomal RNA, 581 nt
Filed under: uncultured bacterium
Lineage: Bacteria
Description: partial 16S ribosomal RNA
Rfam family: Bacterial small subunit ribosomal RNA
Source: RNAcentral
UGGGGAAUUUUGGACAAUGGGGGCAACCCUGAUCCAGCAAUGCCGCGUGUGUGAAGAAGGCCUUCGGGUUGUAAAGCACUUUUGUCCGGAAAGAAAACGCCGUGGUUAAUACCCGUGGCGGAUGACGGUACCGGAAGAAUAAGCACCGGCUAACUACGUGCCAGCAGCCGCGGUAAUACGUAGGGUGCAAGCGUUAAUCGGAAUUACUGGGCGUAAAGCGUGCGCAGGCGGUCCGCUAAGACAGAUGUGAAAUCCCCGGGCUUAACCUGGGAACUGCAUUUGUGACUGGCGGGCUAGAGUAUGGCAGAGGGGGGUAGAAUUCCACGUGUAGCAGUGAAAUGCGUAGAGAUGUGGAGGAAUACCGAUGGCGAAGGCAGCCCCCUGGGCCAAUACUGACGCUCAUGCACGAAAGCGUGGGGGAGCAAACAGGAUUAGAUACCCUGGUAGUCCACGCCCUAAACGAUGUCAACUAGUUGUCGGGUCUUCAUUGGCUUGGUAACGUAGCUAACGCGUGAAGUUGACCGCCUGGGGAGUACGGUCGCAAGAUUAAAAACUCAAAUGAAUUGACGGGGUCAUAGCUG